This 376-nucleotide ribosomal RNA is filed under the name uncultured bacterium. RNAcentral describes it as "bacterial SSU rRNA". It matches the Rfam family "Bacterial small subunit ribosomal RNA", at positions 523 to 898 of the family's 1533-position model. The record is from RNAcentral.
AUACGUAGGGGGCGAGCGUUGUCCGGAGUUACUGGGCGUAAAGGGCGUGUAGGCGGUUUAUUAAGUCAGGUGUGAAAUUCCAGGGCUUAACCCUGGAACUGCGCUUGAAACUGAUAGGCUUGAGGACAGGAGAGGGAAGUGGAAUCCCCGGUGUAGCGGUGAAAUGCGUAGAUAUCGGGGGGAACACCAGUGGCGAAGGCGGCUUCCUGGACUGUACCUGACGCUGAGGCGCGAAAGCUAGGGGAGCAAACAGGAUUAGAUACCCUGGUAGUCCUAGCUGUAAACGAUGAGUGCUAGGUGUGGGAGGUUGAAAUCCUUCCGUGCCGGAGUUAACACAAUAAGCACUCCGCCUGGGGAGUACGGCCGCAAGGCUAAA